This is a non-coding RNA of Gymnothorax javanicus (giant moray), 73 nucleotides long. The record is from the annotation of a GenBank genome assembly. NCBI's taxonomy places the organism in Eukaryota, Metazoa, Chordata, Actinopteri, Anguilliformes, Muraenidae.
UGCAUAGUGGCACAGUGGUUAGCACUGCCUCCUAACAGCAAGAAUGUUGUGGGUUCGAAUCCGGCCUGUGGAG